CACAGUAACGAUGGAUGCCCGCUGUUGGUACCUGGUAUCAGCGGCUAAGCGAAGCAUUAAGCAUCCCACCUGGGAGUACGCCGGCAACGGUGAACUCAAGGAAUUGACGGGGCCCGCACAAGCGGAGGAACAUGUGGUUUAAUUCGAUGAUACGCGAGGAACCUUACCCGGGCUUGAAUUGCAGAGGAAGGAUUUAGAGAUAAUGACGCCCUUCGGGGUCUCUGUGAAGGUGCUGCAUGGCUGUCGUCAG
This 250-nucleotide ribosomal RNA is filed under the name uncultured bacterium. Its description in RNAcentral is "partial 16S ribosomal RNA". It matches the Rfam family "Bacterial small subunit ribosomal RNA", at positions 798 to 1058 of the family's 1533-position model. The record is from RNAcentral.